AUGAUAACCAAGAUGGUAAAUUAACAUUGGAUGAAAUACUCAAUCAUGAAAGUAUUUUCUACAGUACCAUCUAUGACAAUGGUAGAAAUGAAGAUCUUUCCCACGACGAACUUUAAAUUGUGCGAGUGCAACUUCAGUGUUGUGGCUGAGGUGAGGAGAUCAAUUUAAUUCACAGAGGCAAUUUAUUUCAACUCGAUCAAAUCAAUGAGUGAGUAAGCUGAUCAUAGUUCAAAAAGCACUCAAAGGAAGUUAGUAGCGCUGCCGUUCGUUGAUUAUAAUUUUUUUUUGUUACUACUACUUUACCCAUUAGCAGUAGCUAAUAGUGAUAUAUUGAGGCUUGUACAUGCUAUUUUUUUGUGUGUGUGUGUAUGUAAUACAUUUUACAUGUACCUCGAUGAAUUAUAAGAAUACAUGAGUUAGAAUCUUCUCUACCUCA
Nicotiana tabacum (common tobacco) is the source of this 436-nucleotide non-coding RNA. NCBI's taxonomy places the organism in Eukaryota, Viridiplantae, Streptophyta, Magnoliopsida, Solanales, Solanaceae. The record is from RefSeq and is a predicted model, not a curated record.